CUCGCUUCUCGGCCUUUUGGCUAAGAUCAAGUGUAGAAUUGUGGAUUUGUUAAUGAAGGGGUAACGAAGUAACCAUAGUGGCAGCGUAUAUUAAUAUUUCAAAUCAUUGCACACUAAUUGUUCUGGAAAUGUUGAAAUGAGUUCGUCAUGGUGAGUGUUUCAAACCGCUGUCUCUGGGCUGAAACAAUGCGAGCCGUU
This is a small nuclear RNA of Leucoraja erinaceus (little skate), 198 nucleotides long. RefSeq annotates it as U2 spliceosomal RNA. The record is from RefSeq and is a predicted model, not a curated record. The transcript has a single exon. Lineage: Eukaryota; Metazoa; Chordata; Chondrichthyes; Rajiformes; Rajidae.